UCUUCCUUAGGUUAAUUCAAGAAGUCCUACAAAUGAUAUUCAAAGAAAACACGAGUGGAAAUCUAACUUCUCUUCACUAAGUAUGAAAGCUUGUUCAUAAAAAUAUGAAUUGGCACACAAUUUAAGUUUUAAAGAUCAAGUCAAUUAGGACUCAUUAGUGAAUAUCAAAAUAGAUUUUCUAAAAGAUACUCAAGAAAAUUUUACACGUUAUUCUCCCCCUUUUUCAUUAAGUUAGAGGCUCUUUAAGCUCAACUUGCAAUUUGGUUCAUGAUUUAUGC
This 278-nucleotide long non-coding RNA is filed under the name Phoenix dactylifera (date palm). Its description in RNAcentral is "long non-coding RNA (PDAC_LNC019639)". The record is from RNAcentral. Lineage: Eukaryota; Viridiplantae; Streptophyta; Magnoliopsida; Arecales; Arecaceae.